Molecule: ribosomal RNA, 381 nt
Filed under: uncultured bacterium
Lineage: Bacteria
Description: bacterial SSU rRNA
Rfam family: Bacterial small subunit ribosomal RNA
Source: RNAcentral
AUUGAACGCUGGCGGCAUGCCUUACACAUGCAAGUCGAACGGCAGCACGGGAGCAAUCCUGGUGGCGAGUGGCGAACGGGUGAGUAAUAUAUCGGAACGUGCCCGGUCGUGGGGAUAACGUAGCGAAAGCUACGCUAAUACCGCAUACGAUCUACGGAUGAAAGCGGGGGAUCGCAAGACCUCGCGCGAUUGGAGCGGCCGAUAUCAGAUUAGGUAGUUGGUGAGGUAAAGGCUCACCAAGCCGACGAUCUGUAGCUGGUCUGAGAGGACGACCAGCCACACUGGGACUGAGACACGGCCCAGACUCCUACGGGAGGCAGCAGUGGGGGAAUUUUGGGACAAUGGGCGCAAGCCUGAUCCAGCAAUGCCGCGUGCAGGAUG